This 468-nucleotide ribosomal RNA is filed under the name uncultured bacterium. Its description in RNAcentral is "partial 16S ribosomal RNA". It matches the Rfam family "Bacterial small subunit ribosomal RNA", at positions 28 to 507 of the family's 1533-position model. The record is from RNAcentral.
GACGAACGCUGGCGGCGUGCUUAACACAUGCAAGUCGAACGGAAAGCGCGGGAGCUUGCUCCCUGCGCGUGAGUGGCGCACGUGUGAGUCACACGUGUACAAUCUGCCUCGAACUCUGGGAUAAUCGCUGGAAACGGGCUCUAAUACCGGAUACGCUGCUGCAGCGCGUUCUGUCUGGGUGAAAUGCGGCGGUUGGGGAUGUUCUCGCGGCUUAUCAGCUCGUUGGUGUGGUAUUGGCUUACCAAGGCUCUGACGGGUAGCCGGCCUGAGAGGGUGACCGGCCACACUGGGACUGAGAUACGGCCCAGACUCCUACGGGAGGCAGCAGUGGGGAAUAUUGCACAAUGGGCGGAAGCCUGAUGCAGCAACGCCGCGUGCGGGAUGACGGCCUUCGGGUUGUAAACCGCUUUGGGCAGUGAAGAAGCGAGAGUGACGGUAACGGGUGAAAAAGCACCGGCUAACUACGUG